RNAcentral lists this ribosomal RNA (301 nucleotides) under uncultured bacterium. Its description in RNAcentral is "partial 16S ribosomal RNA". It matches the Rfam family "Bacterial small subunit ribosomal RNA", at positions 509 to 807 of the family's 1533-position model. The record is from RNAcentral.
CAGUCGCCGCGGGAAUACGUAGGGUGCGAGCGUUAAUCGGAAUUACUGGGCGUAAAGCGUGCGCAGGCGGUUGUGUAAGACAGGUGUGAAAUCCCCGGGCUUAACCUGGGAACUGCGCUUGUGACUGCACAGCUAGAGUAUGGCAGAGGGGGGUGGAAUUCCACGUGUAGCAGUGAAAUGCGUAGAGAUGUGGAGGAACGCCGAUGGCGAAGGCAGCCCCCUGGGCCAAUACUGACGCUCAUGCACGAAAGCGUGGGGAGCAAACAGGAUUAGAUACCCGAGUAGUCCCUGUCUCUUAUAC